CCGUGGGCGGAGCCAGGGGGGAGGGCGAAGUGAGGGCCAGUGCUUGGACCAGAAGCGAGCGUUGGAAGUGCAUCCCCAUCGUUUAACGCUUUGAGGAAGCGCAGAGCUCAUCAAACACCCAAACACAUCCCAGUGACCCCUAAAAAACGAGAAAGAACUUACUUGUCACUGGAGGGUGCCGCAGAAGCCGAAAUCCGGAAGUCGGUAUGGAAGAGAGCAGGCAAGAGAGUAAGAUGACAUCACCACCGCCCCAAAGACGCUCCGUUAUUCCUUCACUAAGUAAUCUUAUAUGACUUUCACCUUCUAAUGCAUACUAACUAUAAACUCACAAAAUAUUGUAAAAAUAGUACAGCGGGGUCCUGGGUGAGCGCCGUUCAGCUACUCCCACCGGCGGCAUCUUACGUAACCAUAGUACGUUGUCAGAACCAGUACACUGACGUUGGCACUAUACCGAUACCCGGACGAUAGAACGUACCCCGAUUUCACCACUUUUCUUGUGUGUUUACUCUUUUAAAAAAAAAUUUAUUUCAUUAAAUACUUCCUAUCUCACAGUCGUAGGGAAGCCAUCUUAAAAUCACACGGACGUCAUACCUUGGUGUAUAAGUGAAAGAAGGGAGACUCACAGGCACCGAGGGUGUCGAGGAGGCCCACGCAGUGACCCAGCACAGUUCUUAAAGGGUGAGCAUAUCUGAUCCAGCUGGUCCAGGCACAGAGCAGAUGCUCAGAAAUUCGUGCUCAGACUUCCCCCCCAAGGUUCGCAGCCCAAAGCCAUCACGAGCGUGGCGAGGGAUUUACCUAGGAUUCCUGACAGCAGCCCAUCCAGAAGAGUCAGCAUGGUGGCGGCCAAGGCCACGGACGGGGCACAGAACGGCGGGAUCGUGGAGAUGGAGCCGCAGCUUGCGGACUCCGUGGUGAAGCCCUGGUCUCUUUUCCCUGAACUUGUUCCAGAUCGCCGUCUGUUAUCGAACGAAUGUGUGUGUUCCCCCCACAUUCAUGUAUUGAAGCCCUAACCCCUCAUGUGAUGGUAUCUGGAGGUGGGGGGUCCUUUGCGAGGUCUACCCAGGUCCACCCAUCAUCUCUCCAUCAUUCACCCAACGGACAUUCAUUUAGCACAGACUGGCCUCUGCCAUAUGCUUGGUGCUGGGAAAACAGAUGAAUCAGACUCGGUUCCUGCUCUUUAGGCAUUUGCAAGACUGGUUGGGAGGAGAGGGGCUGGAACAGAGUUAACAAGGCAUCUCAAGCCCUGCUCUCAUGGAACCUGCGACCUCCGGAUGUCUUGAACUUCUUACAGGCUCUUCAAACAUAGCAUGUCCCAAAGAGAAUCUCUGGUCAUCACCCUCCCACCCAUUGAAAAGUAAUGUCAUUUUUUGUUAAUAAAAUAAACA
Molecule: long non-coding RNA, 1385 nt
Organism: Ailuropoda melanoleuca (giant panda)
Lineage: Eukaryota; Metazoa; Chordata; Mammalia; Carnivora; Ursidae
Exons: 5
Source: RefSeq, a predicted model, not a curated record